Vicia faba (fava bean) is the source of this 276-nucleotide non-coding RNA. Lineage: Eukaryota; Viridiplantae; Streptophyta; Magnoliopsida; Fabales; Fabaceae. The record is from the annotation of a GenBank genome assembly.
AUGGAAGUUAUCGAAGAAGAAGAUACAACCAUAAAGAACUUUGCAGGUUUGGGAAGGGUAUUUUGGACUGGUUAUGAGCAGGUUUGUAGGCUGGUUUGUAGUGGUGUAGAGUAUUAUAUGCAAACCAGAUCCUGGGUUGGCACUUGGGCAUACAAGGGUUGCGGUUUAUUGUGCAUUGGAUUUGGUUGUGUAUGUGGGAAGGUUUGGAAUGUACUAAUAGUGCAGAUCGAUGUUUGGAUAAGUCUUGGCAUGGUGGAUGUUUUGAAGAAAGCUUAA